This 232-nucleotide ribosomal RNA is filed under the name Staphylococcus aureus. Its description in RNAcentral is "partial 16S ribosomal RNA". It matches the Rfam family "Bacterial small subunit ribosomal RNA", at positions 1 to 222 of the family's 1533-position model. Lineage: Bacteria; Bacillati; Bacillota; Bacilli; Caryophanales; Staphylococcaceae. The record is from RNAcentral.
UUUAUGGAGAGUUUGAUCCUGGCUCAGGAUGAACGCUGGCGGAGUGCCUAAUAGAUGCAAGUCGAGAGAACGGACGAGAAGCUUGCUUCUCUGAUGUUAGCGUCGGACGGGUGAGUAACACGUGGAUAACCUACCUAUUAGACUGUGAUAACUUCGGGAAACCUGAGCUAAUACCGGAUAAUAUUUUGAACCGAAUGGUUCUUAUGUGAAAUACGGUAUUGCUGUCACUUAU